UACGUAGGGUCCGAGCGUUGUCCGGAAUUAUUGGGCGUAAAGGGCUCGUAGGCGGUUCGUCACGUCGGGAGUGAAAACUCGGAGCUCAACUCCGAGCCUGCUUCCGAUACGGGCAGACUAGAGGUAGGCAGGGGAGAGCGGAACUCCUGGUGUAGCGGUGGAAUGCGCAGAUAUCAGGAAGAACACCGGUGGCGAAGGCGGCUCUCUGGGCCUUACCUGACGCUGAGGAGCGAAAGCGUGGGUAGCAAACAGG
This 253-nucleotide ribosomal RNA is filed under the name uncultured bacterium. Its description in RNAcentral is "partial 16S ribosomal RNA". It matches the Rfam family "Bacterial small subunit ribosomal RNA", at positions 524 to 776 of the family's 1533-position model. The record is from RNAcentral.